RNAcentral lists this ribosomal RNA (486 nucleotides) under uncultured bacterium. RNAcentral describes it as "partial 16S ribosomal RNA". It matches the Rfam family "Bacterial small subunit ribosomal RNA", at positions 30 to 507 of the family's 1533-position model. The record is from RNAcentral.
AUUGAACGCUGGCGGCAUGCCUUACACAUGCAAGUCGAACGGCAGCACGGGUGCUUGCACCUGGUGGCGAGUGGCGAACGGGUGAGUAAUACAUCGGAACAUGUCCUGUAGUGGGGGAUAGCCCGGCGAAAGCCGGAUUAAUACCGCAUACGAUCUACGGAUGAAAGCGGGGGACCUUCGGGCCUCGCGCUAUAGGGUUGGCCGAUGGCUGAUUAGCUAGUUGGUGGGGGAAAGGCCUACCAAGGCGACGAUCAGUAGCUGGUCUGAGAGGGCGACCAGCCACACUGGGACUGAGACACGGCCCAGACUCCUACGGGAGGCAGCAGUGGGGAAUUUUGGACAAUGGGCGAAAGCCUGAUCCAGCAAUGCCGCGUGUGUGAAGAAGGCCUUCGGGUUGUAAAGCACUUUUGUCCGGAAAGAAAUCCUUGGCCCUAAUACGGUCGGGGGAUGACGGUACCGGAAGAAUAAGCACCGGCUAACUACGUG